RNAcentral lists this ribosomal RNA (253 nucleotides) under uncultured bacterium. RNAcentral's name for it is "partial 16S ribosomal RNA". It matches the Rfam family "Bacterial small subunit ribosomal RNA", at positions 524 to 776 of the family's 1533-position model. The record is from RNAcentral.
UACGUAGGGGGCAAGCGUUGUCCGGAUUUAUUGGGCGUAAAGAGCGUGUAGGCGGCCAGGCAGGUCCGCUGUGAAAACUCGAGGCUCAACCUCGAGAGGUCGGUGGAAACCGUUUGGCUAGAGUCCGGAAGAGGAGAGUGGAAUUCCCGGUGUAGCGGUGAAAUGCGCAGAUAUCGGGAAGAACACCAGUGGCGAAGGCGGCUCUCUGGGACGGUACUGACGCUGAGACGCGAAAGCGUGGGGAGCGAACAGG